RNAcentral lists this long non-coding RNA (1170 nucleotides) under Vulpes vulpes (red fox). RNAcentral's name for it is "lncRNA (ENSVVUG00000008971.1)". Lineage: Eukaryota; Metazoa; Chordata; Mammalia; Carnivora; Canidae. The record is from RNAcentral.
AUGGGUGACAAGGGCAUGGGGCGCCUCGGUGACAUUGGGAUAGAGGAGCAGCAGGAGGAGGAGAGGAGGAGCAGCGGAGGAGCAGCAGCGGGAGGAGAGGAGGAGCAGUGGAGGAGCAGCAGGAGGAGCAGCCGGAGGAGCAGAGGAGGAGCAGCGAGAGGAGCAGCAGAGGAGCAGCAGGAGGAGCAGUGGAGGAGUAGCAGCGGGAGCAGCAGGAGGAGCAGCAGGAGGAGGAGCAGAGGAGCAGCAGCGGGAGCAGAGGAGGAGCAGCAGGAGGAGGAGCGGAGGAGCAGCAGCGGGAGCAGAGGAGGAGCAGCAGGAGCAGAGGAGGAGCAGCAGGAAGAGCAGCGGAGGAGCAGCAGCGGGAGCAGAGGAGGAGCAGCGGAGGAGCAUGAGCAGCAGAAGGAGCAGUGGAGGAGCAGUAGAGGAGCAGCAGGAGGAGCAGCAGGAGGAGUGGAGGAGCAGCAGGAGGAGCAGCAGAGAAGCAGCAGGAGGAGCAGCGAGAGGAGCAGCAGGAGGAGCAGCGGAAGGAGCAGCAGGAGGAGCAGCGGAGGAGCAGCAGGAGGAGCAGCGGAGGAGCAGCAGCGGGAGCAGAGGAGGAGUAGCGGAGGAGCAGCAGGAGGAGCAGCAAGAGGAGCAGAGGAGGAGCAGGAGGAGCAGGAGGAGCAGUGGAGCAGCAGGAGGAGCAGCGAGAGGAGCAGCAGGAGCAGCAGCGGGAGCAGAGGAGGAGCAGCAGGAGGAGCAGAGGAGGAGCAGCGGAGCAGCAGGAGGAGCAGCGAGAGGAGCAGCAGGAGCAGAAGCGGGAGCAGAGGAGGAGCAGCAGGAGGAGCAGAGGAGGGGCAGCGGAGCAGCAGGAGGAGCAGCGCACCGCCCCCCCCACCACGCCGUCAGUUGCGGGCCCCGCCGGGACUUCUCGGGGCCUCAGUUUCCUCUCUGUGGCCCAGGGCGAGUGGCGGCGCCUCCCAGGCCGCGAAGCCGAGGUCGGGAGCCCAUGGGUGGCGAGGGCCCAGGGCACCCGCCGGCCCCGGGCCACUCGAGGGCCCCCCUGGCUCCGUGGCGGGCUCCUGGUUUCGGCUCAGGGAGCGAGGUCGCGCCCCGCCGAGGCUCCAGGCUCCCCGGGACGCGCUGGGGACCAUGUCCCCGCCCCCCCGCCGCUCGCUCUCGGAAUAA